This 419-nucleotide long non-coding RNA is filed under the name Mus pahari (shrew mouse). RNAcentral's name for it is "lncRNA (MGP_PahariEiJ_G0003905.1)". Lineage: Eukaryota; Metazoa; Chordata; Mammalia; Rodentia; Muridae. The record is from RNAcentral.
GCACUGUGAGGCAUCUUACAGCCACCUUCAUUUAGGAUGCUGUUUCUGAGGACCAUGACCCUUCUGUGAACUCCUGCCAUGAACACUGACGUUGACAUUGCUUAUCACUGAAGGAGUCCUAGAGAUAAUCAACUAUCAACUCAAUUGUGUAGAUGCCAUCAGAGGCUCAAAGAGCUCAACUGAGUUAUCCAAAGUCACACAUGAAGUUAGGCCACCUGUCUUUUUGGAAAAGGGAGAUGUCCUCAUAAAAUGAGAUUAAGAUGAUGUCGACACUGAAAGAGAACAGAAGGCAUGAUGGCAGAUUCUCUCUGGAUCUGAGUUCCCUUACUCCAAUGCCAGAAGAGAGGAGAAAAGAGGAUUUUUUUUAGGAUGCUCCACAUGGACUUACUAUUCAAACAUUAUGAAUUAGUUAAGAACAC